AGUAAUUAUUUUUAUAUAAUUAAUAAAUGAAGGGUGGAAUAACAUGUGUACAUAUUGCCCGUCGCUCUCGUUAUUUUUGAGAUAAGUCGUAACAUAGUUGAUGAACUGGAAAGUGUAUCUUUUU
RNAcentral lists this ribosomal RNA (124 nucleotides) under Dixioria sp. LS-2010. RNAcentral describes it as "partial 12S ribosomal RNA". The record is from RNAcentral. Lineage: Eukaryota; Metazoa; Arthropoda; Diplopoda; Polydesmida; Xystodesmidae.